GAAAUGCGAUAAUUAAUGUGAAUUGCAGAAUUCAGUGAAUCAUCGAGUCUUUGAACGCACAUUGCGCCCCCUGGUAUUCCGGGGGGCAUGCCUGUCCGAGCGUCAUUGCUGCCCUCAAGCACGGCUUGUGUGUUGGGCUUCCGUCCCUGGCAACGGGGACGGGCCCAAAAGGCAGUGGCGGCACCAUGUCUGGUCCUCGAGCGUAUGGGGCUUUGUCACCCGCUCCCGUAGGUCCAGCUGGCAGCUAGCCUCGCAACCAAUCUUUUUAACCAGGUUGACUCGGAUCAGGUAGGGAUACCCGCUGAACUUAAGC
RNAcentral lists this unclassified non-coding RNA (313 nucleotides) under plant metagenome. RNAcentral's name for it is "partial contains 5.8S ribosomal RNA, internal transcribed spacer 2, and large subunit ribosomal RNA". The stretch from base 1 to 105 matches the Rfam family "5.8S ribosomal RNA", at positions 50 to 154 of the family's 154-position model. The record is from RNAcentral.